RNAcentral lists this ribosomal RNA (723 nucleotides) under uncultured Neisseriales bacterium. RNAcentral's name for it is "bacterial SSU rRNA". It matches the Rfam family "Bacterial small subunit ribosomal RNA", at positions 35 to 742 of the family's 1533-position model. The record is from RNAcentral. Lineage: Bacteria; Pseudomonadati; Pseudomonadota; Betaproteobacteria; Neisseriales.
GCUGGCGGCAUGCUUUACACAUGCAAGUCGAACGGCAGCGGGGAGGAGCUUGCUUCUCUGCCGGCGAGUGGCGAACGGGUGAGUAAUACAUCGGAACGUGUCGAGAAGAGGGGGAUAACCACCCGAAAGGGUGGCUAAUACCGCAUAAAUUCUGAGGAAGAAAGCUGGGGACCUAGGAAUAGGCCUAGCGCUUUUUGAGCGGCCGAUGUCGGAUUAGCUAGUUGGUGAGGUAAAGGCUCACCAAGGCGAAGAUCUGUAGCGGGUCUGAGAGGAUGAUCCGCCACACUGGGACUGAGACACGGCCCAGACUCCUACGGGAGGCAGCAGUGGGGAAUUUUGGACAAUGGGGGCAACCCUGAUCCAGCCAUGCCGCGUGUAUGAAGAAGGCCUUAGGGUUGUAAAGUACUUUUGUUAGGGAAGAAAAGUCAGCUGUGAAUAAUGGCUGAUACUGACGGUACCUAAAGAAUAAGCACCGGCUAACUACGUGCCAGCAGCCGCGGUAAUACGUAGGGUGCGAGCGUUAAUCGGAAUUAUUGGGCGUAAAGCGAGUGUAGACGGUUAUUUAAGCCAGAUGUGAAAUACCCGAGCCUAACUUGGGAGGUGCAUAUGGAACUGGGUAGCUAGAGUGUGUCAGAGGGAGGUAGAACUCCACGUGUAGCAGUGAAAUGCGUAGAGAUGUGGAAGAAUACCGAUGGCGAAGGCAGCCUCCCUGGGAUAACACUG